CUCCCCUUCAAUAUUCAGAAAAAUUAAAAGAAAUUGAAAAAAAUGACGCACAUGGUCCGGAUAUAUAUCAUUCUUAUAUUCCACCAAACAACAGCAGUUAAUAUUAAUAUUCCACCGAUGCGAGCAUUUAGUCCUUUUAAAAUGUGGUCGCACAAAUGAAUGCAGCGAUUUAUAUUGUUCCAUUUUGAAGACCCAGUCGUAGUAUUUCUUAUAUCAAACA
This 220-nucleotide long non-coding RNA is filed under the name Elaeis guineensis (African oil palm). Its description in RNAcentral is "long non-coding RNA (EGUI_LNC006024)". The record is from RNAcentral. Lineage: Eukaryota; Viridiplantae; Streptophyta; Magnoliopsida; Arecales; Arecaceae.